Oncorhynchus keta (chum salmon) is the source of this 3351-nucleotide long non-coding RNA. RefSeq lists it as uncharacterized. The transcript has 3 exons. Lineage: Eukaryota; Metazoa; Chordata; Actinopteri; Salmoniformes; Salmonidae. The record is from RefSeq and is a predicted model, not a curated record.
AUUUAGCCUGGCUAAACAAUGUCCUGGGAAUAAAUAACCCAGGUCGUUUGAGACAACAACAAAAAAUACCCACCAAUCUUUUUAGAUUUAUUCAUGGUUAUGAACUCUGUUUUAACAUAUGGAGAUGUCAACACACGUGUAGUUGUGUAUUAUACAGUUCUAGUAACUAUUCACAUUUUAACAUAUACUAUAUUUCAAUUGUUGAUUCUGUAUCUACAGACUAUCUACAUACUGUAAAAUAUAAUUAUAUAUAAGAACACGUUGUGUUAGUUCGGGGCCUGGUAACCCUGGUAACCCUGGUAACCCUAGUAACCCAGGAGUGAACAUGUACAUGGACUUUAGUUCCAACCUCUACUAAUCACCUUACCUACUGAGCUAAUUGAUCACUGUCGGUGAUUGGCUAAAUUUCCAGGCCUAAUAAAAAAGCAAAACAAAAAGCCUGAAGCAUAUGCAGCUCCAGGACCAGGGUUGCCAGGACCAGGCAGGGUUGCCAGGACCAGGGUUGCCAGGACCAGGGUUGCCAGGACCAGGGUUGCCAGGACCAGGGUUGCCAGGACCAGGGUUGCCAGGACCAGGGUUGCCAGGACCAGGGUUGCCAGGACCAGGGUUGCCAGGACCAGGGUUGCCAGGUGACUUUACACAGGUAAUGUCCACAGUUUAACAGUGUCUCUACAAUGGUACAGGGCAUUCACCUGUUAGUUAGGUACAGCAGGGUCUGUGUGUCUGUUGUUAGUUAUAAUGUCUCUAUACAGCAGGAUGUCUGUUGUUAGUUAUAAUGUCUCUAUACAGCAAGAUGUCUGUUGUUAGUUAUAAUGUCUCUAUACAGCAGGAUGUCUGUUGUUAGUUAUAAUGUCUCUAUACAGCAGAAUGUCUGUUGUUAGUUAUAAUGUCUCUAUACAGCAAGAUGUCUGUUGUUAGUUAUAAUGUCUCUAUACAGCAGGAUGUCUGUUGUUAGUUAUAAUGUCUCUAUACAGCAAGAUGUCUGUUGUUAGUUAUAAUGUCUCUAUACAGCAGGAUGUCUGUUGUUAGUUAUAAUGUCUCUAUACAGCAGAAUGUCUGUUGUUAGUUAUAAUGUCUCUAUACAGCAGGGUCUGUGUGUCUGUUGUUAGGGUCUGUGUGGCUGUUGUUAGGGUCUGUGUGUAUGUUGUCAGCGUCUGUAUGUCUGUUGUCAGGGUCUGUAUGUUGGUUGUUAGGAUCUGUGUGUCCGUUAUCAAGGGUAUGUGUAUGUUGUUAGGAUCUGUGUGUCUGUUGUUAGGGUCUGUGUGUCUGUUGUUCGGGUCUGUGUGUCUGUUGUUGGAGUAUGAGUGUCUGUUGUUGGAGUAUGAGUGUCUGUUGUUGGAGUAUGAGUGUCUGUUGUUAGGGUCUGUGUGUCUGUUGUUAGGGUCUGUGUGUCUGUUGUUAGGGUCUGUGUGUCUGUUGUUGGAGUAUGAGUGUCUGUUGUUAGGGUCUGUGUGUCUGUUGUUAGGGUCUGUGUGUCUGUUGUUAGGGUCUGUGUGUCUGUUGUUAGGGUCUGUAUGUCUGUUAUUAGGGGUGUAGUGUCUGUUGUUAGGGUAUGUGUGUCUGUUGUCAGGGUCUGUGUGUCUGUUAUUAGGGUCUGUGUGUCUAUUGUUAGGGUCUGUGUGUCUGUUGUUAGAGUCUGUGUGUCUGUUGUUAGUCUGUGUGUCUAUUGUUGGAGUCUGUGUGUCUGUUGUUAGGGUCUGUGUGUCUGUUGUUAGGGUCUGUGUGUCUAUUGUUAGGGUCUGUGUGUCUGUUGUUAGGGUCUGUGUGUCUAUUGUUAGGGUCUGUGUGUCUGUUGUUAGUCUGUGUGUCUGUUGUUAGGGUCUGUGUGUCUGUUGUUAGUCUGUGUGUCUGUUGUUAGAGUCUGUGUGUCUAUUGUUAGGGUCUGUGUGUCUAUUGUUAGGGUCUGUGUGUCUGUUGUUAGGGUCUGUGUGUCUAUUGUUAGGGUCUGUGUGUCUGUUGUUAGUCUGUGUGUCUAUUGUUAGGGUCUGUGUGUCUGUUGUUAGGGUCUGUGUGUCUGUUGUUAGGGUCUGUGUGUCUGUUGUUAGGGCCGAUGUAUCUGUAACUUAGUUUUCCUAACAUCACGGGGAGGUAGAACAGUCCGCUGCCGGAUGACAUUUGCCUCGUCCCUUUCUGUCAGAAGGUCUUCCCCUUGCUCCUUCCUCUCUUGUUCCUCAAACAUGUUUGGUGGUAUUGCUGUGACAAUGUCAAGAUUCCCUUUGUCAAAUACUCUGUUCUGAAUAGUAGAGGGAUGGUUUCAGCCACUGAACUGAAAAAGGGAACUGGGCUCUUGAUCGGACAUGUACUAAAGUCAUCUAAGACACAGUUGUGUCACUUCCUUUAUGCUUGUGUCACUUCCUUUAUGCUUGUGUCCCUUCCUUUAGACUUGUGUCACUUCCUGAUGUCACACUCUGAUGGAGGAGGAGGAGGAGGAGGAGGAGGAGAUCCUGUCACAGACUGAUGAUGGAGGAAGAUGAGGAGGUCCUGUCACAGACUGAUGAUGGAGGAAGAGGAGGAGAUCCUGUCACAGACUGAUGAUGGAGGAAGAGGAGGAGAUCCUGUCACAGACUGAUGAUGGAGGAGGAAGAGGAGGAGAUCCUGUCACAGUCUGAUGAUGGAGGAGGAAGAGGAGGAGGCUCUGUCACAGACUGAUGAUGGAGGAAGAGGAGGAGAUCCUGUCACAGACUGAUGAUGGAGGAAGAGGAGGAGAUCCUGUCACAGUCUGAUGAUGGAGGAGGAAGAGGAGGAGGCUCUGUCACAGUCUGAUGAUGGAGGAAGAGGAGGAGAUCCUGUCACAGACUGAUGAUGGAGGAAGAGGAGGAGAUCCUGUCACAGUCUGAUGAUGGAGGAAGAGGAGGAGAUCCUGUCACAGUCUGAUGAUGGAGGAAGAGGAGGAGAUCCUGUCACAGACUGAUGAUGGAGGAAGAGGAGGAGAUCCUGUCACAGUCUGAUGAUGGAGGAGGAAGAGGAGGAGGCUCUGUCACAGUCUGAUGAUGGAGGAGGAAGAGGAGGAGGCUCUGUCACAGACUGAUGAUGGAGGAAGAGGAGGAGAUCCUGUCACAGUCUGAUGAUGGAGGAGGAAGAGGAGGAGGCUCUGUCACAGACUGAUGAUGGAGGAAGAGAAGGAGAUCCUGUCACAGUCUGAUGAUGGAGGAAGAGGAGGAGAUCCUGUCACAGUCUGAUGAUGGAGGAAGAGGAGGAGAUCCUGUCACAGUCUGAUGAUGGAGGAAGAGGAGGAGAUCCUGUCACAGUCUGAUGAUGGAGGAAGAGGAGGAGAUCCUGUCACAGUCUGAUGAUGGAGGAGGAAGAGGAGGUCCUGUGGAACUGACAGAGAGAAGAGUUGAGUUAUACACU